RNAcentral lists this ribosomal RNA (497 nucleotides) under uncultured bacterium. Its description in RNAcentral is "partial 16S ribosomal RNA". It matches the Rfam family "Bacterial small subunit ribosomal RNA", at positions 28 to 507 of the family's 1533-position model. The record is from RNAcentral.
GAUGAACGCUGGCGGCGUGCCUAAUACAUGCAAGUCGAGCGAACGGACGAGAAGCUUGCUUCUCUGAUGUUAGCGGCGGACGGGUGAGUAACACGUGGAUAACCUACCUAUAAGACUGGGAUAACUUCGGGAAACCGGAGCUAAUACCGGAUAAUAUUUUGAACCGCAUGGUUCAAAAGUGAAAGACGGUCUUGCUGUCACUUAUAGAUGGAUCCGCGCUGCAUUAGCUAGUUGGUAAGGUAACGGCUUACCAAGGCAACGAUGCAUAGCCGACCUGAGAGGGUGAUCGCCCACACGGGAACUUAGACACGGUCCAGACUCCUACGGGAGGCAGCAGUAGGGAAUCUUCCGCAAUGGGCGAAAGCCUGACGGAGCAACGCCGCGUGAGUGAUGAAGGUCUUCGGAUCGUAAAACUCUGUUAUUAGGGAAGAACAUAUGUGUAAGUAACUGUGCACAUCUUGACGGUACCUAAUCAGAAAGCCACGGCUAACUACGUG